RNAcentral lists this ribosomal RNA (253 nucleotides) under uncultured bacterium. RNAcentral describes it as "partial 16S ribosomal RNA". It matches the Rfam family "Bacterial small subunit ribosomal RNA", at positions 524 to 776 of the family's 1533-position model. The record is from RNAcentral.
GACGGAGGGUGCAAGCGUUGUUCGGAUUGACUGGGCGUAAAGGGCGUGUAGGCGGUUUGUUAAGUCGGGUGUGAAAGCCCUGGGCUCAGCCCCGGAAGUGCAUCCGAAACUAGCGGGCUAGAGCGCGAUAGAGGAGGGUGGAAUUCCUGGUGUAGCAGUGAAAUGCGUAGAGAUCAGGAGGAACACCGGCGGCGAAGGCGGCCCUCUGGAUCGUUGCUGACGCUGAGACGCGAAAGCGUGGGGAGCAAACAGG